UCAAUUUUUUUUCUUCUUGCAGGUUCUAAAAUGCUUCAAAAACCUUCACCGCACCUGCCAAUCUGUGUUCCAGGGAGAUGAGGUUGCCCUGCAGGCUGCUGCAGACAGGUGAUGAAGCAGCGCUGUAUCUCAAGGAAAAUAUAGUCCAGUGUGAGCAAAAGCAAGAUGAUAAAUACAGAGUGGUGGUGAGACCCGAGCUGUUGUUUGAAGAGCGUCCCUACAGAGACCUGCCCGACUCCAACCUUCAACGAACUCGCCGCACCACGCAGUGUUGUGACCUAACAAAUCCUUGAACUAGAUUCAUGACUGUUUGAUGGCAGUCUGUUUUUUUAGGCGAUAUGUAUAGUCAGCCUGUGUAAAUACAGUCCAAGACCUAGAGGAUGAUAAUGGGCAGAUCGUAUUUAAUAAUUGGAGUUGACACCUCAAUAAGAUUGCAAUAGUGACCUUGUACAAAUAUUCUUUACUUGAAUUUAAGUAAUCACCUUUGCUGCACGUACACAAACCAUUACGUUUACUUUUUAAUUUUUGCAUUAUUAUAAAAUUGCGAUACCGUUCGAUGUCUCUAAAGAGACUUUCUGUACUGCAAGUUAGUGGCGACUUGCCAACCCUCGAUAAAAAAUUGCUUUCCUGUAUUAAAUUGGUAGCAUUAAUGUACAUAUAUGUACAGCAAGGAGAAGGAUAACUUGGUUACUUGAUUACUCCAUUCAUUCAUUUCAAACAUUUCCAAAGAGUUGGCAGUGGAUUUCAGCAUCAAGGAAAGAAAAAUUAAAUGCACUGGACAUUCA
This is a long non-coding RNA of Hyalella azteca, 785 nucleotides long. RefSeq lists it as uncharacterized. The record is from RefSeq and is a predicted model, not a curated record. NCBI's taxonomy places the organism in Eukaryota, Metazoa, Arthropoda, Malacostraca, Amphipoda, Hyalellidae. The transcript has 3 exons.